AUUGAACGCUGGCGGCAGGCCUAACACAUGCAAGUCGAGCGAGCGGCGGACGGGUGAGUAAGGUAUGGGGAUCUGCCCGAUAGAGGGGGAUAACUACUGGAAACGGUGGCUAAUACCGCAUACUAUCGGAUGUACCAAUAUGGGCUUAGCUAGUAGGUGGGGUAAAGGCUCACCUAGGCGACGCUCCCUAGCUGGUCUGAAAGGAUGAACAGCCACACUGGAACGCAGACACGGUCCAUACUCCUACGGGAGGCAGAAGUGGGGAAUAUUGCGCAAUGGGCUCAAGCCUGAUGCAGCCAUUCCGCGUGUGUGAAGAAGGCCUUCGGGUUGUAAAGCACUUUCAGCGGGGAGGCGUUACUCGCAGAAGAAGCACCGGCUAACUCCGUGCCAGCAGCCGCGGUAAUUC
Molecule: ribosomal RNA, 406 nt
Filed under: uncultured bacterium
Lineage: Bacteria
Description: partial 16S ribosomal RNA
Rfam family: Bacterial small subunit ribosomal RNA
Source: RNAcentral